RNAcentral lists this ribosomal RNA (497 nucleotides) under uncultured bacterium. Its description in RNAcentral is "partial 16S ribosomal RNA". It matches the Rfam family "Bacterial small subunit ribosomal RNA", at positions 28 to 507 of the family's 1533-position model. The record is from RNAcentral.
GAUGAACGCUGGCGGCGUGCCUAAUACAUGCAAGUCGAGCGAACAGGCGAGGAGCUUGCUCCUCUGAUGUUAGCGGCGGACGGGUGAGUAACACGUGGAUAACCUACCUAUAAGUCUGGGAUAACUUCGGGAAACCGGAGCUAAUACCGGAUAACAUGUUGAACCGCAUGGUUCAACAGUGAAAGACGGUCUUGCUGUCACUUAUAGAUGGAUCCGCGCCGCAUUAGCUAGUUGGUAAGGUAACGGCUUACCAAGGCAACGAUGCGUAGCCGACCUGAGAGGGUGAUCGGCCACACUGGAACUGAGACACGGUCCAGACUCCUACGGGAGGCAGCAGUAGGGAAUCUUCCGCAAUGGGCGAAAGCCUGACGGAGCAACGCCGCGUGAGUGAAGAAGGUCUUCGGAUCGUAAAACUCUGUUAUUAGGGAAGAACAAAUGUGUAAGUAACUAUGCACGUCUUGACGGUACCUAAUCAGAAAGCCACGGCUAACUACGUG